ACCAGUGUGGCACAGUGGUUUGAGUGUUGGACUAUGACUCUAGAGACCAGGGUUCGAUUCCCACUUGGCC
Molecule: non-coding RNA, 70 nt
Organism: Phrynosoma platyrhinos (Desert horned lizard)
Lineage: Eukaryota; Metazoa; Chordata; Lepidosauria; Squamata; Phrynosomatidae
Source: the annotation of a GenBank genome assembly